AUCUGAUGGCUUGACUGGGGCUGGAAGAUCUACUUCCAAGAUACUGCUGUCCCAUGGGGGGGGCAUCUUGUGCACCUCCAGAACAUGAGCUGAGCACCCAGUGCCUAGAGCCAGGGGCAGGACAGAAGGAGGCUCUCCCAUGACUUUACAGAUUCAUGGGCAAGAAAUCAGGUACGCCAAAGUAAACAGACAAUAGUGCCCUGAAGGAGUGACAUGGAGGGCUGGUUUCCCCAGACAUGUGUGCAUGCCUGUAUGCACCUGUAUGUGUGACUGUGUGUGUGUGUAUAUAUAUAAUAUAUAUGUGAAUACGUGCAUGUGUGUGCAUGAGUGGACAUGUACAUGCAUGUGUGUGUGUGUGUGUGUAUGCAUGCAUUAGUGUAUGCAUACAUGCGCGGGGGUGAUCACUGAAGGUGUUUUUGAGAAUGUGAUACUUAAGCCAAAAUUUGAACAUGAAGAUUAGCUAAAGGGAAAAGGGGUGAAAGAAUAUUCUAGAAGUGGGCAAGUGUGCACAGGAGAGAGCAACGAGUUUGGGUCUUGCGGGAAUAAGCUGGGGCAGGCUCCCUGGGAACUGGGCUUUGGCCGGGUGUGUUGGACAGAGGGAGAGAGGGUUGAUCAGUUGAGGGUCCUCUGCAUGUCAGUGACUUGCUUCUAGCAACUGGGAGGAAGUUCGGGGGAUUCCAAGCCAGAAAGGGACCAGCUGGUGAGCAGCAGGUGGGCAGGUGGCCCCUCAGUCCAGGUGUGCGUUGGUGAGGCAGGUGUGAGAACUGAGGCAGUGCUGGGGUCAGCUGGGGACUAAGCUGGAGAGACAGGAGGCUGUGCUGGGGAGAUCCGGCUAUAAUUUAUAUUUGCACCUGGGGAAGUACACCUGUGGUCGGAUGGAGUGAAGGCAAUUGUGGAGGAGGAGAGGGGAGAAAAAGUCCAAGAAGCCAGAAUCUGGAGGGGCUUCAUCUGUGGGGCCCAAAGUCACAGGAACGAGGCCGGGAGUCGGUGUCGGGGAGGCCACUUUCUGGGGUGAGCAGCCUUACUGGGGAGAAGAGGAGAGGGUGGGCAGGCCCAGGCGACCCCGAGCUUCUGUUUAGAGGACGAUUACCAAGGCUAACUCAAUCCAAAUGGAUGCUCAGCGGCAACUGGGUUGAACGUGGAAAAAGCAGAGAGACUUUCUGUAAUUUACAGUCCGGGAGGCCAGAAGUGUGAAGUCAAGGUGUCGGCCUGGCCGUGCUCCCUCCGGAGUCUUCAGGGGAGGGUCCUUCCUGCCUCUUCCAGCUCCUGGUGGCUCCUGCAGUCCUUGGCUCACAGCUGCAUCUCCCCAGCCUUGGCCUCCGUCUUCACAUAAUCAUAUUCUCUGAGUUUUCUCCUCUCUUUUCUGUUUUUCUCCUCUGUGUAUCUCAUAAACACACUUGUCAUUGGAUUUAGGGCCCGCCUGGCUAAUCCAGGAUGAUCCCCUUUGGAGAUCCUUAACCUUAUUACAUCUUCAAAAAGCCCCUUUUCAAAAAAGGUCACAUUCACAGUUUCCAGAUAUAAUUUUCUGGACAUGUCUUUCUGGAGGCCACCAUUCUACCCACUACAGAUGGUGACUGUUAGGGGCUGAAUGGUGGCCCUCAAAUUUCAUAUGUUGAAAUCCCCACUCCCAGUACCUCAGAAUGUGGCUCUAUUUGGAGAUAAGGUUUUUAAAGGAUUAAUUAAGUUAAAAUGAGGCUAUAAAGGUGGAACCUUAGCUAAUAUGACUGGCAUCUUUGUUUAAACAGGGAGAGACACUGGGGGGUGUGUGUGCACAGAAAAAUAGCAGGUGAAGACACAGUGAGAGGGCAGCCUUCUACAAGGCAAGGAGAGAGGCCUCGGGAAACUAGCCCCGCUAGCACCCUGACCUUGGACGUCCAGCCUCCAGAACUGUGAGACAAUAAAGUCCUGUUGCCAGGCUUCUGAGGUCCUGGAGACCCACAGCUAGGCUGGGAGCAGGAUGGCUGCUGUGAAGGUGGUAGCUGCGGAAGAAGUGGUGGCAGUGGUCACAGCCCUGGGAGAGAUGAAGGGGUCUACAUGGGCCAGCACUGAGACCUGUCAUGGAGGCCAACAGGAAUCCCCAUCCCUGGAGCCGUCUGCGACUUGCAGGCUGAGUUCUUCCCCUGCGUGGCCUGAAGUGGCCCAGCUGUGAGAAGCCAUUGUGAGGAAUGAUGUUUGUUUAAUAGAGAGUGCGCCAGCAUCGAACUGUCUGCAGGCUGAACCCCUAGGGAGGAGGAGAGGAAAGAAAGCCCGAUGGCUUCAGGCUCAGGUCUUUAAAACUCGUUCUGGGAGAGAACACAUUUGCAGAGCCCCACACUGGGCUCCAGGCUCCUAGAAGCAGCGGGAGCCUGCGUGGGGGCUUUGCAGUUCUUCAUGGAUCGCCGGUUUCAUCUUCUGGGGCCCACCACGCUGACUUGUAUGCAGCUUGCCUGGUGCCGACGGCCUCCAUCCAGCACCCCCUGGACCUGCCUCCGAGUCUGGGUUUGGGGAGCAGAAACAGCAUGAUCUGGGGGACAGGGAUGGUCCCUAGGGGUUGUUAGGCUCCUCUGCCCUCCACCCCACCCACGUAGGCACCAGAUACGAAUGCAAAUGGAGUCACCUCUGGGCCAGCUGUCCUGAUCCUCCUGGGCCCCUGGGGUUUCCCUCCUGACUCUGCUCCCUGGCGGUCUGGGCUGUCUAUGUAGUCCUGCCUGGGAGUCCCAGGCAGGCUGGCGGAGGAGAUGGUGUCAGGGCUGGGCUUGGGAGGAUAGGAGGAAGUUUCCAGGAGUGGAGGGAAGGGGUGGGCAUUUCUGAUGCUAAAAGGGGGUCCCAAGGCCUGGAGUUGCCUGGGGCCUGAGGGUGGCACUGGGAAGUCAAUAGCAGGCUUUUAAAAAUAUUUCUUAUUGUGGUAAAAUACGCAUAAUCAUGAAACUUACCAUGUUAAUCAUUAGGUAUACAGUUGAGUGACACUAAGCACAUUCACCCUGUGUAGCCGUCACCGCCCUCCCCUCCAGGAUGUGCUCAUCUUUCCAGGCCAAAGCUCCCCACCCAUGGAACACUAACUUCUCCCGCCUCCCCGUGCCGUGCUGUGCUGUGCUGUGUUGUGUUGUGUUGAGCUGUGUUGUACUGUGCUGUGCUGUGCUGUGCUGUGCUGUGCUGUGUUGUGUUGUGUUGAGCUGUGUUGUACUGUGCUGUGCUGUGCUGUGCUGUGUUGUGUUGUGUUGAGCUGUGUUGUACUGUGCUGUGCUGUGCUGUGUAAGUGGGGCGUGUCUCUGGGCUCGGGCUAGGGUCUUGCCCUCUGCCUCAGCUGGGAUGGGUUUGAGGUGGGCAGGGCGAGUGGGCAGGUGGAAGGCUGGGAGCAUCUGGCUUUGAACGUGUCCAUCAUGUUCCCCACGUCCGUCCCUGGACAACCUGCACCCGUGGAUGGUGCCCAGGAACCAAAAAGGGAAGAUAAAUAACCAGGCUGUGUUCAUGUCAAGCCCCACUAUGAUCACAUUAAGAACGAAUGGAUGGCAGC
Molecule: long non-coding RNA, 3493 nt
Filed under: Homo sapiens (human)
Lineage: Eukaryota; Metazoa; Chordata; Mammalia; Primates; Hominidae
Description: HSALNT0406630
Source: RNAcentral